AUUGAACGCUGGCGGAAUGCUUUACACAUGCAAGUCGAACGGCAGCACGGGGGCAGCCCUGGUGGCGAGUGGCGCACGGGUGAGUAAUACAUCGGAACGUGCCCGGUCGUGGGGGAUAACGUAGCGAAAGUUACGCUAAUACCGCAUACGAUCUGAGGAUGAAAGCGGGGGACCUUCGGGCCUCGCGCGAUCGGAGCGGCCGAUGUCAGAUUAGGUAGUUGGUGGGGUAAAGGCCUACCAAGCCGACGAUCUGUAGCUGGUCUGAGAGGACGACCAGCCACACUGGGACUGAGACACGGCCCAGACUCCUACGGGAGGCAGCAGUGGGGAAUUUUGGACAAUGGGCGCAAGCCUGAUCCAGCCAUUCCGCGUGCAGGACGAAGGCCUUCGGGUUGUAAACUGCUUUUGUACGGAACGAAAAGGCUCUGGCUAAUACCUGGGGCUCAUGACGGUACCGUAAGAAUAAGCACCGGCUAACUACGUG
Molecule: ribosomal RNA, 484 nt
Filed under: uncultured bacterium
Lineage: Bacteria
Description: partial 16S ribosomal RNA
Rfam family: Bacterial small subunit ribosomal RNA
Source: RNAcentral